GACUUUUCGGUCUCGCGAAUGCAUCCUAGAUUAUUAGUUUGAUCAUGGCUCAGAUUGAACGCUGGCGGCAGGCCUAACACAUGCAAGUCGAGCGGAUGACGGGAGCUUGCUCCUUGAUUCAGCGGCGGACGGGUGAGUAAUGCCUAGGAAUCUGCCUGGUAGUGGGGGACAACGUUUCGAAAGGAACGCUAAUACCGCAUACGUCCUACGGGAGAAAGCAGGGGACCUUCGGGCCUUGCGCUAUCAGAUGAGCCUAGGUCGGAUUAGCUAGUUGGUGGGGUAAUGGCUCACCAAGGCGACGAUCCGUAACUGGUCUGAGAGGAUGAUCAGUCACACUGGAACUGAGACACGGUCCAGACUCCUACGGGAGGCAGCAGUGGGGAAUAUUGGACAAUGGGCGAAAGCCUGAUCCAGCCAUGCCGCGUGUGUGAAGAAGGUCUUCGGAUUGUAAAGCACUUUAAGUUGGGAGGAAG
This 473-nucleotide ribosomal RNA is filed under the name uncultured bacterium. Its description in RNAcentral is "bacterial SSU rRNA". It matches the Rfam family "Bacterial small subunit ribosomal RNA", at positions 1 to 450 of the family's 1533-position model. The record is from RNAcentral.